This is a long non-coding RNA of Thunnus maccoyii (southern bluefin tuna), 289 nucleotides long. RefSeq lists it as uncharacterized. The transcript has 3 exons. The record is from RefSeq and is a predicted model, not a curated record. Lineage: Eukaryota; Metazoa; Chordata; Actinopteri; Scombriformes; Scombridae.
GUCUAAUCAGGCACAGUAAGUGAAAACACCUGCGUGAGUGUAGCCGAGGUUUUGUUGGGCCUUCAAGCCAUCGAGCAAGUGACUUUGCCACCAUAACCUGAACCACCAAAGCCGCUGCCACCAAAGCCGCUGCCACCGUAGCCGAAUCCGCCGCCGGAGCUUGAGCUGGUGAAUCCUGGAGCAGAGAGGGGAAAAAAACAGCAGUUUCCUGUAGGUGGCGAUUUCAAUGUCCAGGGCCAGCUUGACGUUCAUCAGUUCCUGGUAUUCGCGCACCUGGCGGGCCAUGUCC